AUUGAACGCUGGCGGCAUGCCUUACACAUGCAAGUCGAACGGUAACAGGUCUUCGGAUGCUGACGAGUGGCGAACGGGUGAGUAAUGCAUCGGAACGUGCCCAGACGUGGGGGAUAACGAGGCGAAAGCUUUGCUAAUACCGCAUACGAUCUAAGGAUGAAAGCAGGGGACCGCAAGGCCUUGUGCGUUUGGAGCGGCCGAUGGCAGAUUAGGUAGUUGGUGGGAUAAAAGCUUACCAAGCCGACGAUCUGUAGCUGGUCUGAGAGGACGACCAGCCACACUGGGACUGAGACACGGCCCAGACUCCUACGGGAGGCAGCAGUGGGGAAUUUUGGACAAUGGGCGAAAGCCUGAUCCAGCAAUGCCGCGUGCAGGAUGAAGGCCUUCGGGUUGUAAACUGCUUUUGUACGGAACGAAAAGGCUCUGGCUAAUACCUGGGGCACAUGACGGUACCGUAAGAAUAAGCACCGGCUAACUACGUG
Molecule: ribosomal RNA, 482 nt
Filed under: uncultured bacterium
Lineage: Bacteria
Description: partial 16S ribosomal RNA
Rfam family: Bacterial small subunit ribosomal RNA
Source: RNAcentral